Molecule: ribosomal RNA, 590 nt
Filed under: Fusarium burgessii
Lineage: Eukaryota; Fungi; Ascomycota; Sordariomycetes; Hypocreales; Nectriaceae
Description: eukaryotic LSU rRNA
Rfam family: Eukaryotic large subunit ribosomal RNA
Source: RNAcentral
UUGACCUCGGAUCAGGUAGGAAUACCCGCUGAACUUAAGCAUAUCAAUAAGCGGAGGAAAAGAAACCAACAGGGAUUGCCCUAGUAACGGCGAGUGAAGCGGCAACAGCUCAAAUUUGAAAUCUGGCUCUCGGGCCCGAGUUGUAAUUUGUAGAGGAUGCUUUUGAUGCGGUGCCUUCCGAGUUCCCUGGAACGGGACGCCAUAGAGGGUGAGAGCCCCGUCUGGUUGGAUGCCAAAUCUCUGUAAAGCUCCUUCAACGAGUCGAGUAGUUUGGGAAUGCUGCUCUAAAUGGGAGGUAUAUGUCUUCUAAAGCUAAAUACCGGCCAGAGACCGAUAGCGCACAAGUAGAGUGAUCGAAAGAUGAAAAGCACUUUGAAAAGAGAGUUAAAAAGUACGUGAAAUUGUUGAAAGGGAAGCGUUUAUGACCAGACUUGGGCUUGGUUAAUCAUCUGGGGUUCUCCCCAGUGCACUUUUCCAGUCCAGGCCAGCAUCAGUUUUCCCCGGGGGAUAAAGGCGUCGGGAAUGUGGCUCUCUUCGGGGAGUGUUAUAGCCCGUCGUGUAAUACCCUGGGGGGGACUGAGGUUCGCGCA